This 92-nucleotide signal recognition particle RNA is filed under the name bovine gut metagenome. Its description in RNAcentral is "Bacterial small signal recognition particle RNA". It matches the Rfam family "Bacterial small signal recognition particle RNA". Rfam says of the family: The signal recognition particle (SRP) is a universally conserved ribonucleoprotein involved in the co-translational targeting of proteins to membranes. The record is from RNAcentral.
CGGGUCCCAUGCGACGGCUGCCGCCAAAACCCCGCCAGGGCCGGAAGGCAGCAACGGUAUGGCCGGUGCGCCGGGCGCGUGGGGUGCCUGGC